This 254-nucleotide ribosomal RNA is filed under the name uncultured bacterium. RNAcentral's name for it is "partial 16S ribosomal RNA". It matches the Rfam family "Bacterial small subunit ribosomal RNA", at positions 524 to 776 of the family's 1533-position model. The record is from RNAcentral.
UACGGGGGGGGUAAGCGUUGUUCGGAAUUACUGGGCGUAAAGGGCUCGUAGGCGGCCAACUAAGUCGGACGUGAAAUCCCUCGGCUUAACCGGGGAACUGCGUCUGAUACUGGAUGGCUUGAGUUUGGGAGAGGGAUGCGGAAUUCCAGGUGUAGCGGUGAAAUGCGUAGAUAUCUGGAGGAACACCGGUGGCGAAGGCGGCAUCCUGGACCAACACUGACGCUGAGUGAGCGAAAGCGUGGGGAGCGAACAGG